Lytechinus pictus (painted urchin) is the source of this 4297-nucleotide long non-coding RNA. RefSeq lists it as uncharacterized. The transcript is spliced from 5 exons. The record is from RefSeq and is a predicted model, not a curated record. NCBI's taxonomy places the organism in Eukaryota, Metazoa, Echinodermata, Echinoidea, Temnopleuroida, Toxopneustidae.
CUGUAAAGCUAGAUGUAAGUUUAUGGACAAGAUAUAACAGAUUAAUUUGUAAUAUGUGUAAAGUGCAAUUUCUUCGGGAAAUUUGUAAAAUUUACAGAAAAAUCAGGUUAAAUGGUAAAUUUACUGACGUAAGGAGACGUUUACAUACUUCUUUGUAAAUUUACUGUAAAGUAGAUGUAAGUUUAUGGACACGAUUUAACAGAUAUGCAAUUUCUACGGAAAAUGUGUAAAAUUUACAGAAAAAUCAAGUUAAUGAUGAAUAUUCUGACCUUUUCGAGCAUGCGCACUUGAGAAGUUUGUGAAAAAACCGCGAAGCAAAGAGAAUUUUCCUUGCGGUCUUGGAUGUGUCAAGUGAUCUUCUUGAUCAGAAAUUCAAUUACGUCGUCGGUUGUCAUCUACCUACACCCAUGGAUUAUCUCCAUCACCUUCACAACCUUGAAUUGCUAAGAGAGCUACCUUUGCCAAGACCACGUCGUGGGCUACGGGAUGCUAGAAAUCCAUUGGAAUCGUACGAGGAUCGAGAUCGGUAUCGACUGUCAAAAGAAACCGUCAUUUACAUCAUCAACAUGCUGGAAGCCGAAUUGAAGAGGGACACACAGAGGAAUGAUCCACUUCCCGUUUAUUUGCAGGUGUUGACGGCUCUCCGUUUUUAUGUGGAUCAUUUCAAAAGAUGCAUGGUGAUGAGGUAGCAAUAUCACAGUCAUCAAAUGAAUGUGUCAAAUCAUCAAAGAUGUUUCGGAAGCUAUAGCAAGAAGGAAGAGGCAAUACAUGAACUUUCCUUCGACAAGAGAACAAGUUGAAGCAACUCAGCGACAGUUCUACCAGUACUGUAGAUAUAUCAGGAGCCCUGGUGGGGAUCAGGCAAUAUACUUCCUCAACAGGAAGAGUAGAUACUCGGUCAAUGUACAGGUUGUUUGUGAUCAGGCUGGGAAAAUAACAAGCAUCGUUGCCAGAUGGCCUGGCAGCACACCUAACUCCGCAACCGUAAGUCACUUUUCAACCAAACUUGGAUGGUAAAUGUACUUAGGCGACCUGCAUGUUAUGCUGCAGUCGGAGGUCACACGGUAAGGUCAAAGUGUUCCACAAUGGACAUAAGUUUUUGUAGAAAUGUACCAAACCCGACGGUGCUCUCACUCCAUGAUGUGUCACUGCAUCGUAGCAAUCCAGUCGGAUUUGAAAUGGUCUACACAUGUUGAAUAUAUGGUCAAGCGCGCAAAUAGUCGUUUAUAUGUUCUUCGCACUUUGAAAUAUCAUAGUCUGUAAUUUCAGGACCUUAUAGUUGUAUAUACUAGUUUCGUGAGACCAGUUGUUGAAUAUGCUGUACCUGUAUGGUCAGGAGCACUAACAAAACAACAAGUACAAGUCAUCAAACGUAUUCAGAAACGUGCCCUUAGAAUCAUUUUUGGAGCAGCAUAUUCUUCAUAUGAGCAUGCUUUACUCCAGUCAGAACUGAUGUCUCUUGAAGAUAGAUGGAUCAAACUCUUGUCUUGCGUUUGCGAAGUCUAUGCAAAUCCCCACGUCUAAACUGUAUCACCUUCUACCUCAAAAUAGGACUUGUCAAUAUCAGACUAGAAGCUUGGCCGGAACAGUAGAGAUGCGAUGUCGAACUUCACGAUAUAGAAAUAGCCCCUUGCCCUCGUUGAUUCGGCACCUUAAAGAGAAAUUCCAGUAGUUGCAGUAAACACUGAUUUCAUGAGAAAGUCUGUAAAACAAGACUUAAUUGUCAGUAUAUCAUCGAGGAUCUAGAUCUGGUACAGUUACAUAAACUGAACUUUGUGAAAUCUUGAAAUCUACGCUGAAAAAUGUUCAGGCUGAAGAUCCCCAACACAGAUAAGCGCACGUGGGACAGUGUAUAAUUAUUGCAUCGAAUGUCGGGCCCGACGCUCUACCCGAAUCCUGUGCUUAUUUGCUGAUUUCUCAGCAAUUACACAAUUUCUUCCAGAAUCCUUUGGCACAUAUGUUUUAUUUAUACAAACAGACACUUUGGUGGUCAUUUCAUUGGAUUCUGUACGAACUCAUUUUGAUAUCGUUACCCAAACUAGCAUUUACCUUUAACUCUAAAAGAAUUGAUUACAAGGAGUAGUUUUUUUUUUAUAUAUCUUCCCCUAUCGUUACAUGUAUAAUAAUAUCAAACUACGAAUGGCUGAGAAUUAAAGAACUCAUCAUUCAUUGGACUCUUAAAAUGUGAUAUCAUUAAAAGAUUGUUUUUUAUAAAAUGCAGAUUACAUACUAAUUCUAAUGUUGAGUUCUCUUUAUGUUGGCGAACUCAAGUAUCAUUUCAUUUCAUUUCAUUUUACUUUGUUAAUCAAAAUAUUUUUCUUUCAUAUGAGCAAUUAUUCACUGAUAUCUAGUCGUAAACUUAAUAUUUGAAUUGAAGUCACAAAAAUUGCCAAAAUAUGUAUUAUUGCAGCAUGUAUGAAAAAAUGUGACCUAAUUGCUUCUUUGCCCUUUUCUCUCUGUUUCCCUUCCACCAUCAAUUUCUUCUCUUCUCUCUCUCUCUCUCUCUGCCUCUCUUCUCUCUUCCACUAUUUCUAUUCCUUUCUGCUUUCCAAUUCAUUUCCUCUAUCCACUCAUAUUUACAUGUAUUUUGAAUAUUUUUCAAUUUUUUUUAUUGAUCAGUGAGUAUCGAUUUAAAUUUAUUUAUGAUAUACUUUGUUACAUAUGUCUAUAUUGAAAUUUGUUCGUAGUACUAUAAGUUUUUUUACCUUGUUAUUGAUGAUUUUGUUUGAAAUGUAAAUUUUCGCAAUUCGGCUUUUGCUGCAAAGAAAGGAUUUUUAAUAAACCAUUUUGAAUUGAAUUGAAUUUACAGGUCAACAUUAAAGUUUAUGUGCAAGGCUCUCUUUAUGUUGGCGAACUCAAGUUUCAUUUCAUUUCAUUUCAUUUUACUUUGUUAAUCAAAAUAUUUUUCUUUCAUAUGAGCAAUUAUUCACUGAUAUCUAGUCGUAAACUUAAUAUUUGAAUUGAAGUCACAAAAAUUGCCAAAAUAUGUAUUAUUGCAGCAUGUAUGAAAAAAUGUGACCUAAUUGCUUCUUCGCCCUUUUCUCUCUGUUUCCCUUCCACCAUCAAUUUCUUCUCUUCUCUCUCUCUCUCUCUGCCUCUCUUCUCUCUUCCACUAUUUCUAUUCCUUUCUGCUUUCCAAUUCAUUUCCUCUAUCCACUCAUAUUUACAUGUAUUUUGAAUAUUUUUCAAUUUUUUUUAUUGAUCAGUGAGUAUCGAUUUAAAUUUAUUUAUGAUAUACUUUGUUAGAUAUGUCUAUAUUGAAAUUUGUUCGUAGUACUAUAUGUUUUUUUACCUUGUUAUUGAUGAUUUUGUUUGAAAUGUAAAUUUUCGCAAUUCGGCUUUUGCCGCAAAGAAAGGAUUUUUAAUAAACCAUUUUGAAUUGAAUUGAAUUUACAGGUCAACAUUAAAGUUUAUGUGCAAGGCUCUUAUGACAAGUGUUAUUCCAUCCCAGUCAUUUCACAAUGAAGUUUCAAUACAAUUAUGUUGUGUGCCCUCGCAAAUCACGAUAUUUCUGGUUAUUUUCAUGAGUGGGCUAGACACAAUCACUGUUGCCAUGUUUUAUUCUAGAAAUAGUAAGCUUAGUAUGAAAAAAAUUAUUGAAAAAAGCUGGCCCGAUUUGUCCAGGUCAGAAAAGGGCAACACAAUUUUUGUUCAGGCCUUAAGUGAAUGCAUUCAUACAAUCUACCAUGUGUUUGGGAGUACAUGUUUAAAUAGCAAAUCAGCGUUCCUAUUGUAAGGUAUCUACUGAUUAAAAAAGAUCUGUAAAAAAUUUAAGAAUUCUGUAAACUUGUUUUUUUACAGAAAUGUGUAAAUUUACAUGGGAAUUUUGUAAAAGUACGGUAAUUUUACGGAAAGGAAUCCGUAAAAUUACGGAUUAAAAAAAAAAAUUCCGGCAGCAAAAUUUCCGGACAAAUUUUUUUUUCCCGUUAAUUAUUUAUACGGAAUCAUGUUAAUUCACGUAAAUUUUCUGUAAAAUUUCCGUAAAUAAUAUCUGUAUUUUACAUGGGAAUUUGUAAAAGUACGGUAAUUUUACGGAAAAGGAAUCCGUAAAAUUACGGACAAAAAAAAAAAAUUCCGGCAGCAAAAUUUCCGGACAAAUUUUUUUUUUCCGUUAAUUAUUUAUACGGAAUCAUGUUAAUUCACGUAAAUUUUCUGUAAAAUUUCCGUAAAUAAAAUCCGUAUUUUACAUGGGAAUUUUGUAAAAGUACGGUAAUUUUACGGAAAAGGAAUCCGUAAAAUUACGGACAAAAAAAAAAAAUUCCGGCAGCAAAAUUUCCGGACAAAUUUUUUUUUUCCG